Molecule: ribosomal RNA, 468 nt
Filed under: uncultured bacterium
Lineage: Bacteria
Description: partial 16S ribosomal RNA
Rfam family: Bacterial small subunit ribosomal RNA
Source: RNAcentral
GACGAACGCUGGCGGCGUGCUUAACACAUGCAAGUCGAACGGAAAGGCCCUGCUUUUGUGGGGUGCUCGAGUGGCGAACGGGUGAGUAACACGUGAGUAACCUGCCCUUGACUUUGGGAUAACUCCAGGAAACUGGGGCUAAUACCGGAUAGGAGCUCCUGCUGCAUGGGGGGGGUUGGAAAGUUUCGGCGGUUGGGGAUGGACUCGCGGCUUAUCCGCUUGUUGGUGGGGUAGUGGCUUACCAAGGCUUUGACGGGUAGCCGGCCUGAGAGGGUGACCGGCCACAUUGGGACUGAGAUACGGCCCAGACUCCUACGGGAGGCAGCAGUGGGGAAUAUUGCACAAUGGGCGGAAGCCUGAUGCAGCAACGCCGCGUGCGGGAUGACGGCCUUCGGGUUGUAAACCGCUUUCGCCUGUGACGAAGCGUGAGUGACGGUAAUGGGUAAAGAAGCACCGGCUAACUACGUG